RNAcentral lists this ribosomal RNA (915 nucleotides) under uncultured marine group I thaumarchaeote. Its description in RNAcentral is "bacterial SSU rRNA". It matches the Rfam family "Archaeal small subunit ribosomal RNA", at positions 1 to 923 of the family's 1478-position model. Lineage: Archaea; Thermoproteati; Nitrososphaerota. The record is from RNAcentral.
UUCCGGUUGAUCCCGCCGGACCUAACUGCUAUCGGAUUGAUACUAAGCCAUGCGAGUCGCUGUAGCAAUACAGGGCGGACUGCUCAGUAACACGUAGUCAACCUAACCUAUGGACGGGGAUAACCUCGGGAAACUGAGGAUAAAACCCGAUAGAUCAUUAUACCUGGAAUGGUUAAUGGUCCAAACAGUUUACUGCCAUAGGAUGGGACUGCGGUCUAUCAGCUUGUUGGUGAGGUAAUGGCUCACCAAGGCUUUGACAGAUACGGGCUCUGAGAGGAGUAGCCCGGAGAUGGGUACUGAGACACGGACCCAGGCCCUAUGGGGCGCAGCAGGCGAGAAAACUUGGCAAUGUGCGAAAGCACGACCAGGUUAAUCCGAGUGGUUCCUGCUAAAGGAACCUUUUGUUAGUCUUUAAUACACUAUCGAAUAAGGGGUGGGCAAGUCCUGGUGUCAGCCGCCGCGGUAAAACCAGCACCUCGAGUGGUCAGGAGGUUUAUUGGGCCUAAAGCAUCCGUAGCCUGCUGUGCAAGUCUUCGGUUAAAUCCAUCUGCUCAACAGAUGGGCUGCCGGUGAUACUACACGGCUAGGGAGUGGGAGAGGUCGAUGGUACUCGGUGGGAAGGGGUAAAAUCCUUUGAUCCAUUGAUGACCACCUGUGGCGAAGGCGGUCGACCAGAACACGUCCGACGGUGAGGGAUGAAAGCUGGGGGAGCAAACCGGAUUAGAUACCCGGGUAGUCCCAGCUGUAAACGAUGCAAACUCAGUGAUGCCUUGGCAUGUAGCCAAUGCAGUGCCGCAGGGAAGCCGUUAAGUUUGCCGCCUGGGAAGUACGUUCGCAAGAAUGAAACUUAAAGGAAUUGGCGGGGGAGCACCACAAGGGGUGAAGCCUGCGGUUCAAUUGGAGUCAACGCCGGGA